Molecule: long non-coding RNA, 810 nt
Organism: Rhipicephalus sanguineus (brown dog tick)
Lineage: Eukaryota; Metazoa; Arthropoda; Arachnida; Ixodida; Ixodidae
Exons: 3
Source: RefSeq, a predicted model, not a curated record
GGUUCUGCGAAGUUCUUUUAUGAUUAGUCAUGCCACGUGCUGAUAUUGACCUUUCUUAUCACUACCCACUUCCUGUACAUAUCCGCACCCUUCUAUGUUGUCCUUUUUUUGUGCUUUAUCCUUAAACUUCUUUUCAGAAAUUUUGAAUGAAACUAAAGACACUUUCGAAAAAAAUGUUUACUCCUAGUUUACUAAAAGGGCUUAAGAUUGUUUCUUGGGAUUUUUAGUGAUGUGCAAAAAUAUAUUCGACUGAAAUUUCAGCAACAUUCUGUUGCGGCAAAAUGACAAUUUCACAGCCACAUUUCUCAUAAAUUUAGAGAAUAAACCUGGACUUUAGCUAAUAUUGUGCAAUGCUCGGUUCACGCAAUUUUUUCGUGUGAUUGUGUAUUGCAGGCUUAUGUCAGGUCUGGCAUCUGGAUUGGCAAGCAGGCUUCGGGGACGUUGGUCUGGGUCAUGUCUGAUUUGAUGUUCUGGCAUUUGGUGUCCGAUGUUUUCGACAGUAGAUGAGCUGAAAAAAAAAACCGAAGCACGACUGGAACUUUGUCCGAAAAGUCUUGGUGAAAGGAAAGGGCAACAUCCUGCCCAGCCUCCACAUCACAGAAGCUGUCGUCCCUUAAAGUUGACACGCAGAUGCCAUUGGCUCAGGAGGACAGCAUCGACUUCGUUAUUGGUCAUCAAAGGACGAUGGAAAGGCCUCUUCGGAGUCUACAUGGGGUCUGCAGUGAGCGAGGACGAGGGAAGAAAAGGAUGAAGGAUGUGCGGCGGCACCUCUCCCAGAAACUGGCGGAUUGCCAGAGAAAGUAGAACAAU